AAGUCGUAACAAGGUUUCCGUAGGUGAACCUGCGGAAGGAUCAUUAACACGUAUCCAACGUUAAACAACCCUGUGAACUUUCAGACGCUCUUGUAGCCCAGGCGGAACAGCAAUCCCGGUAAAUCAAUGGCGGAAAAGUUUUGAUUCGGGACCUCUGUCCAAUUAGUUACAAUCGAGCUAGGAGCAGUGGCAUGGUUUCCCUAAGCAGUGCAGAAGGAUCCACUGAGUAAGGAUAACGCAUCACGGUUGCUAGAGGUCGAUCGGCAGACAUGUCACAGGGCUAUAUGCCCCUUCGUUCACCCCUUGCCUAAAACUCGCCCACCCACAAAAACCGAACAACUGUUAACAAUGGAUAUCUUGGUUCUC
This 366-nucleotide unclassified non-coding RNA is filed under the name fungal sp. RNAcentral describes it as "partial internal transcribed spacer region". The stretch from base 1 to 46 matches the Rfam family "Eukaryotic small subunit ribosomal RNA", at positions 1786 to 1831 of the family's 1831-position model. The record is from RNAcentral. Lineage: Eukaryota; Fungi.